CAAAGAUUAAGCCAUGCAUGUCUCAGUACAAGCCAAAUUAAGGUGAAACCGCGAAAGGCUCAUUAAAUCAGUUAUGGUUCCUUAGAUCGUACCCACAUUUACUUGGAUAACUGUGGUAAUUCUAGAGCUAAUACAUGCAAACAGAGCUCCGACCGGAGACGGAAGGAGCGCUUUUAUUAGAUCAAAACCAAUCGGUGGCGGGUCUCCCGUCACCGUACACCUUGGUGACUCUGAAUAACUUAUUGCUGAUCGCACGGUCUCGCACCGGCGACGCAUCUUUCAAAUGUCUGCCUUAUCAACUGUCGAUGGUAGGUUCUGCGCCUACCAUGGUUGUAACGGGUAACGGGGAAUCAGGGUUCGAUUCCGGAGAGGGAGCCUGAGAAACGGCUACCACAUCCAAGGAAGGCAGCAGGCGCGCAAAUUACCCACUCCCGGCACGGGGAGGUAGUGACGAAAAAUAACGAUACGGGACUCAUCCGAGGCCCCGUAAUCGGAAUGAGUACACUCUAAACCCUUUAACGAGGAUCAAUUGGAGGGCAAGUCUGGUGCCAGCAGCCGCGGUAAUUCCAGCUCCAAUAGCGUAUAUUAAAGUUGUUGCGGUUAAAAAGCUCGUAGUCGAAUUUGUGUCCCGCGCCGCCGGUUCAUCGCUCGCGGUGUCAACUGGCGUGUCCGCGGGACGUCCUGCCGGUGGGCUUAGCCCCAAUGUGGGCGGCCCAAUCUCAAUCCCACCGCGGUGCUCUUCACUGAGUGUCGAGGUGGGCCGGCACGUUUACUUUGAACAAAUUAGAGUGCUUAAAGCAGGCUAAAACAUCGCCUGAAUACUGUGUGCAUGGAAUAAUGGAAUAGGACCUCGGUUCUAUUUUGUUGGUUUUCGGAACCCCGAGGUAAUGAUUAAUAGGAACGGAUGGGGGCAUUCGUAUUGCGACGUUAGAGGUGAAAUUCUUG
RNAcentral lists this ribosomal RNA (945 nucleotides) under Lepanus globulus. Its description in RNAcentral is "SSU rRNA". It matches the Rfam family "Eukaryotic small subunit ribosomal RNA", at positions 38 to 922 of the family's 1831-position model. Lineage: Eukaryota; Metazoa; Arthropoda; Insecta; Coleoptera; Scarabaeidae. The record is from RNAcentral.